This 253-nucleotide ribosomal RNA is filed under the name uncultured bacterium. RNAcentral's name for it is "partial 16S ribosomal RNA". It matches the Rfam family "Bacterial small subunit ribosomal RNA", at positions 524 to 776 of the family's 1533-position model. The record is from RNAcentral.
UACGGGGGGUGCGAGCGUUGUCCGGAAUCACUGGGCGUAAAGGGCGCGUAGGUGGCGUGAUAAGGGUGUGGUGAAAGCCCGGGGCUCAACCCCGGGUCUGCCAUGCCGACUGUCAGGCUGGAGUACUGUAGGGGCAGGCGGAAUUCCGGGUGUAGCGGUGGAAUGCGUAGAGAUCCGGAGGAACACCGGUGGCGAAGGCGGCUUCCUGGACCGACACUGACGCUGAGGCGCGAAAGCCAGGGGAGCAAACGGG